Phyllostomus hastatus (greater spear-nosed bat) is the source of this 636-nucleotide long non-coding RNA. RefSeq lists it as uncharacterized. The record is from RefSeq and is a predicted model, not a curated record. The transcript is spliced from 4 exons. Lineage: Eukaryota; Metazoa; Chordata; Mammalia; Chiroptera; Phyllostomidae.
CCCACUUUGCCCGGAGCCAGGAGCUAAGCUUCUCCACUGGUCCCCAGCUGCAGAACCCCGCGUCCUGCCUGGGUGCCCAAGAGGGAGGGGGUGAACCCUGGAGGAACCGGGAGAGGCCGCAGGGCGCCUGCCCAGGGCACGGAGGCCGUCUCGGCGUCUUCCGUGCUGUGAAUGACGCGGCAGUGAACGCGGAUGAACACCGAGUGGUGAAACACAGCCCUGCCCUGCGGCACCCUCUCCGGCCUCACGUUCCCCGCAAGCAGCAGUUCUCUCUCUGUGACAAAGCGUCCGUGUUGUUUGCCGCCGCCUGGAGCAGUGCGGGGCGCAGGGGAGGCGGCCAGCAGAAGUGUGCUGAGUGAGAGAGUUUUAAUCUCCUACCUCCAGGCCUCAGGGCCCCGAAAUCUCCGGUGCUGGGUGAUGGCCAGACAGAGCAGACCUGUGGUCGCAGGUGGGAGCAGGAAACCCUGGAAAAAUUAUCCGUCAGAAUGGAAAUGGUAAGUGAAGCUAAGAGAUGGGUUGGCGCUGGAGCGUGUCUUGUUCCUACACGCCCAGGACACGCCUGUCACCUGCCAGGAGACGGGGGAGCUCCGAGUGGCCAGGAGAAGCUGGCCAUGGUGAGACUUUCCACUUGUUUGC